RNAcentral lists this ribosomal RNA (355 nucleotides) under uncultured bacterium. RNAcentral's name for it is "partial 16S ribosomal RNA". It matches the Rfam family "Bacterial small subunit ribosomal RNA", at positions 338 to 710 of the family's 1533-position model. The record is from RNAcentral.
CCUACGGGAGGCUGCAGUGGGGGAUAUUGCACAAUGGGGGAAACCCUGAUCCAGCGACGCCGCGUGUGGGAAGACUGUCCUCUGGAUUGUAAACCACUUUUACCUGGGACGAAGACGACGGUACCUGGGGAGGAAGCAUCGGCCAACUACGUGCUAGAAGCCGAGGUAUUACGUAGGGAGGGAGCGUUGUCCGGAAUUACUGGGUGUAAGGGGAGGGUGGGGGGGAGUGAAGGUGGUGAGUCAAAUCUACGGGUAAAACUGGUAGGUGCAGUCAAAACUGCAAGUCUUGAGUGAAGUAGAGGCAGGCGGAAUUCGUAGUGUAGCGGAGAAAUGCGUAGAUAUAAAGAGGAACACC